Molecule: ribosomal RNA, 407 nt
Filed under: uncultured bacterium
Lineage: Bacteria
Description: partial 16S ribosomal RNA
Rfam family: Bacterial small subunit ribosomal RNA
Source: RNAcentral
AUUGAACGCUGGCGGCAGGCCUAACACAUGCAAGUCGAGCGGAGCGGCGGACGGGUGAGUAAUGCCUAGGAAUCUGCCUGGUAGUGGGGGAUAACGUCCGGAAACGGGUGCUAAUUCCGCAUACUAUCAGAUGAGCCUAGGUCGGAUUAGCUAGUUGGUGGGGCAAAGGCCUACCAAGGCGACGAUCCGUAACUGGUCUGAGAGGAUGACCAGCCACGCUGGAACUGAGACAAGGUCCAGAGUCCGACGGAAGGCAGCAGUGGGGAAUAUUGCACAAUGGGCGCAAGCCUGAUGCAUCCAUGCAGCGUGUAUGAAGAAGGCCUUCGGGUUAAAAAGUACUUUCAGCGGGGAGGCGUUACCCGCAGAAGAAGCACCGGCUAACUCCGUACCAGCCGCCGCGGUGAUUC